AGAGUUUGAUCAUGGCUCAGAACGAACGCUGGCGGCAGGCCUAACACAUGCAAGUCGAGCGCCCAGCAAUGGGAGCGGCAGACGGGUGAGUAACACGUGGGAACCUUCCCUAUAGUACGGAAUAGCCCAGGGAAACUUGGAGUAAUACCGCAUACGCCCGAGAGGGGAAAGAUUUAUCGCUAUAGGAUGGGCCCGCGUAGGAUUAGCUAGUUGGUGAGGUAAUGGCUCACCAAGGCGACGAUCCUUAGCUGGUCUGAGAGGACGACCAGCCACACUGGGACUGAGACACGGCCCAGACUCCUACGGGAGGCAGCAGUGGGGAAUAUUGGACAAUGGGCGCAAGCCUGAUCCAGCCAUGCCGCGUGAGUGAUGAAGGCCUUAGGGUUGUAAAGCUCUUUUGCCGGGGACGAUAAUGACGGUACCCGGAGAAUAAGUCCCGGCUAACUUCGUG
Molecule: ribosomal RNA, 451 nt
Filed under: uncultured bacterium
Lineage: Bacteria
Description: bacterial SSU rRNA
Rfam family: Bacterial small subunit ribosomal RNA
Source: RNAcentral